This 366-nucleotide ribosomal RNA is filed under the name uncultured soil bacterium. Its description in RNAcentral is "bacterial SSU rRNA". It matches the Rfam family "Bacterial small subunit ribosomal RNA", at positions 26 to 416 of the family's 1533-position model. The record is from RNAcentral.
AGAACGAACGCUGGCGGCAUGCCUAAUACAUGCAAGUCGAACGAAGGCUUCGGCCUUAGUGGCGCACGGGUGCGUAGCGCGUGGGAAUCUGCCCCUUGGUUCGGAAUAACAGUUGGAAACGACUGCUAAUACCGGAUGAUGACGAAAGUCCAAAGAUUUAUCGCCAAGGGAUGAGCCCGCGUAGGAUUAGCUAGUUGGUGAGGUAAAGGCUCACCAAGGCGACGAUCCUUAGCUGGUCUGAGAGGAUGAUCAGCCACACUGGGACUGAGACACGGCCCAGACUCCUACGGGAGCAGCAGGUAGGGAAUAUGGACAAGUGGGACGAAAGCCUGAUCCGAGCAAUCGGCCGCGUGAGUGAAGUAGGAA